RNAcentral lists this ribosomal RNA (485 nucleotides) under uncultured bacterium. RNAcentral describes it as "bacterial SSU rRNA". It matches the Rfam family "Bacterial small subunit ribosomal RNA", at positions 28 to 507 of the family's 1533-position model. The record is from RNAcentral.
GAUGAACGCUAGCGACAGGCCUAACACAUGCAAGUCGAGGGGCAGCACAAAGUAGCAAUACUUGGUGGCGACCGGCGCACGGGUGAGUAACACGUAUGCAACCUACCUGUAAGCGGGGAAUAACCCGGAGAAAUUCGGACUAACACCGCAUAAUACUGAAUUACUGCAUGGUUUUUCAGUUAAAUAUUUAUAGCUUACAGAUGGGCAUGCGUAUGAUUAGAUAGUUGGUAGGGUAACGGCCUACCAAGUCAACGAUCAUUAGGGGUUCUGAGAGGAAGGUCCCCCACACUGGUACUGAGACACGGACCAGACUCCUACGGGAGGCAGCAGUGAGGAAUAUUGGUCAAUGGGCGAGAGCCUGAACCAGCCAAGUCGCGUGAAGGAAGAAGGUUCUAUGGAUUGUAAACUUCUUUUGUAAGGGAAUAAAAAAGAGUACGUGUACUCUAUUGUAUGUACUUUACGAAUAAGGAUCGGCUAACUCCGUG